This is a non-coding RNA of Coturnix japonica (Japanese quail), 943 nucleotides long. The record is from RefSeq and is a predicted model, not a curated record. NCBI's taxonomy places the organism in Eukaryota, Metazoa, Chordata, Aves, Galliformes, Phasianidae.
GAAGCGUUUUGAUAAGUUAGACAAAUGCUUGUGAAAUGUUGUCUGGAUGUUGGUAGUGCCCAGGCCUCAAUGAUUUUAGUUUGCAAAGCAAGUCUGCUUCCUCAAAAGCAUUUAUAAAAGCUUCUUGAAGACUUAAGUGGAACUGUCUGGUGUAGUCCUGGGAGUUUGACUGAUUUCCUUACUUCCCCCAUCCAGAAAAUGUCAUUUCUGUGGCAAAACUCUAAUGAGUAGAUUUAUCUUGGAUACAGAAAGACCUGAGCAACCUGUUUUCUACUGCCUUCAUCUCUUUUCUUCCCCAGGCAAGAAAUUUGAUCAGUUUUUUUCAUAGGUGGUUGACCAAAGGUGCUCCAGUCAGGGCAGGGAUCUGAAUUUGAAUCUCUCAAUGUCGUCUGCAGUUGCUCAAAUAGGAAAACACCUGGGCAAAAGGAAGAAAAGACUGAAAGAAAAAUGACAGCAUUCAAGAUUUCUUGCCACUGCUAGGCUGAAAAUUGGACAGCAGGGGUAAAUCUUCACUGGAUGCAAAACAAUGAAGAUGUAUGGAAGAAGAAUGGAAUAAUACAUCAUCUGAAUGCACGAUCUCCAUGAUUAUAUGACAAAAGGGAAAAAAAAAAUAAGGUAGGAUUGGUUAAGAAAUUUAAAACUGCAAUCCAUUUUCUACUUUUCCAGACAGCUGCAAACCAAAUACUUUUCCUGAGACUGAAGAUGAAACAAGAGGAACAGAUGUUGUUCCACUAUGGGCAAAUUAAUUGAAAAAUGUAAGCAGGGCCUUGUUCUUAAAGAAACAGGAUCUUGUCAGAAUUCCAACAUAGAAUCAUAGAAUAUCCUGAGUUGGAGGGGAUUCACACAGAUCAUAAGAUCUAGCUCCUGGCUACACGUAGGGCCACAGAAAAAUCAGACCUUAUGUCUGACAGCAUUGUCUGGAAGCUUCUUGAACUGCAGCAAG